AAGCUGUAGACCAGCAAGGCAGUUGAAGAAGAAGUCCCACGAUAGAGUGUCAAAUGCUUUAAUGAUAUCAACCUUGAUAGUGGUGCGUUUUGGGCCAAUUCUCUUGUGAUAUCCAUUGACUAAUUCUCCUAAUACCGUGUUUUCCACCAAGAGCCUGUCUUUGACAAAUGCAGUUUGAUUAGGAACAAUGAGUGAGGGAAGUAAUGGUUUUAAAAAAAAAAAAAGUAAUGGUUUUAACUUUUUCACUUGCGGCCAUGACACCACUUUGUAAAUUGUUUUACUACAGGAUAUAGGAUGGAACUCUGAGAUGGCGGAGGCUCCUGACCUCUUAAAGACCAGCACAAGGAUUGUUGAUUUAGUCAAAGUUGGGAGAAAUGAUGUAUGGAAGAAGUGGGUAAUUGAUUGAAUCACUUCUUGGCCUAGGAAGGACCACAAAGUUUUGAAAAACACUAAGAUUCCAACAAAGGAAGCACGGAGGAUGAAGGAGGAUGGACAGUUGUAUCCCUUUAGAGCUUGAAACCAUUCUGGAGGUGAGUGAACUGAUGUAGGUUGAAAUCUGAGAGGGCCUAGAAUGGCCUUGAAAUGAUUGACAGCAAGGUUUCCCAUAGCAACAGGGUCAGUGAUGAACUCUCCCGAGGGAAGCUGGAAGGUUUGUCAAGUUGAAUGACAUGCUUCCGGCCUCAUUCCACGCUUCAAGAACCAACCGGUGAAACUGGGGAUGUUUAGUGAGGUAGUUGAUGAAGCGGAAAGGUUUGGUUCCAUAAACUGGAAGAAGGUGCAAAAGAUCAGUGGGAUACGGGCUAUGAUCUGAGGUUAGGGUUGGGAGGAAGUAGGAAGUGCUAUUAGGAUAAGCAGAUAUGAAGUGGGAAUUAACAAGGAACCUGUCCAGUUUGUUAGAAAUGGGCAUUUCUUGUUGGUGAUUUGACCACGUGUACAAGGGACCUUGGAAACGAAGGUCGAAAACACCAACUUGUCUCAAGUAAUCUGCAAAUUCAGUCAUCUACGGAGUGAUGGUAUUAACCUCUCUUAGAGAAUGCUCAGCGUGAUGCAUUGUCUCAUUAAAUUCACCUCCAAAAAUUCAAGGAGUUGACUUCAGACCAUAUGCAUAAUAGAUAUUUAGUAACUCCACUCAUAUGUCUUAAUGCUCAGCUCUAGUGUUAGAGGCAUACACUAAGUGUAAAUGAAAGGGGCACAGCCAGGGAUAGUUACUUGACAAGUGAGAGUUUGACGAGUCUGAUCUAUCAAGCUUACUGAUGCCGGAUGCUGCCAGAUGAUGAUGAUGAUCCUCCCAUCCGGAUCAGAGUUAAGAUUGGAGGCAAAGUUCCAAUUCUGGCAGAGUUUAGAUAUCAAAGGGUUCAAUUUUUUAUCUUUAAUAUGGGUUUCAAAUAGGGUUCUAAAAAUAGAUUUUUGACAAGAUAGUCUUUGGAAAAAGGGCAUGUGAAGAGUAGUUUUGCUGUGGAGGAAUUGUCAUAGUCAGAGUUGGAAGAUGGACACUAAUUUAUUUGGUUCUUUUAGACCAGAUAGGGUCACCCUCAUGUUAAACCCUUUUUUGUAACAUCCUCAUGUUAAACUUAAAACUCUGAUAUGGAUGAUGAAAAAUGUACUUCAAAUAUGAUUUAUCCUAAUGAUUUA
Long non-coding RNA from Raphanus sativus (radish), 1632 nucleotides. RefSeq lists it as uncharacterized. Lineage: Eukaryota; Viridiplantae; Streptophyta; Magnoliopsida; Brassicales; Brassicaceae. The record is from RefSeq and is a predicted model, not a curated record. The transcript has 3 exons.